This 694-nucleotide long non-coding RNA is filed under the name Gallus gallus (chicken). The record is from RNAcentral. Lineage: Eukaryota; Metazoa; Chordata; Aves; Galliformes; Phasianidae.
GGCUAAGUCACCACCAAUUUGCUUCUUAAUCUUAAUUCCAGGAGACAGACAAAGUAGCAUCUUAAACCACCACAGCUGCUUUCAUUGGGUAUCAUUAAUGCCAAAAACAUUCAAAAUUGGCAUUAUCGAUACCUUAAUGGAGGUCAAAAGUAAAAAGCAGAUUACAGACAGGAUUCAACAACUCUAAUUUCUUAACUUUUAUUCCAACAGAAAGUUGUCUACUCAACUCCUAAAUAAUCAAAGGCAAUCCAUUAGGUGACAAAGCUUAUCCUUUCUGAAUUUAAUAGAAAUUUUAUUCCAGAGUAUAGAUUUAUAAUAUACAAACGUUUCUCCUAAGAAAGCUUCAAAAUUAGUAUCACUGACUACUGGGGACUUUACAGUACUCAUAAAUGAUAAAAAAAGCUUUUGCUUUUUUAUAAACUAUAUAUGCUGAGGGAAAAUGACACGGCCUUACCAAAAACUGUUCUUCCUAAUUGUGUUCUUUGAUUUUUCUUUUACAUUUGUGAUAGAAAAACCACAAAAGCACUCUAAAAGAUUUCAUGAAACAAUGGAGGUGAUUUAACAGCUCAUUUCUGCCAGAGGUUCAUAUAAUUCCCCAGCCGCUUGGUUCUACUUUUCUCUGUUCUUCUGGCCCUCUGUUUCAGCUCCAGUCCAACUCACCAUGUGUGAUGAUAUAAUGCCAAGGAAAGCCUCC